Molecule: ribosomal RNA, 426 nt
Filed under: uncultured bacterium
Lineage: Bacteria
Description: bacterial SSU rRNA
Rfam family: Bacterial small subunit ribosomal RNA
Source: RNAcentral
AGGGAAUCUUCCGCAAUGGACGAAAGUCUGACGGAGCAACGCCGCGUGAGUGAAGAAGGCCUUCGGGUCGUAAAACUCUGUUGCCGGGGAAGAACAAGUGCCGUUCGAACAGGGCGGUGCCUUGACGGUACCCGGCCAGAAAGCCACGGCUAACUACGUGCCAGCAGCCGCGGUAAUACGUAGGUGGCAAGCGUUGUCCGGAAUUAUUGGGCGUAAAGCGCGCGCAGGCGGCUUCUUAAGUCUGAUGUGAAAUCUUGCGGCUCAACCGCAAGCGGUCACUGGAAACUGGACGGCUUGAGUGCAGAAGAGGAGAGUGGAAUUCCACGUGUAGCGGUGAAAUGCGUAGAGAUGUGGAGGAACACCAGUGGCGAAGGCGACUCUCUGGGCUGUAACUGACGCUGAGGCGCGAAAGCGUGGGGAGCAAAC